This 467-nucleotide ribosomal RNA is filed under the name uncultured bacterium. RNAcentral describes it as "partial 16S ribosomal RNA". It matches the Rfam family "Bacterial small subunit ribosomal RNA", at positions 28 to 507 of the family's 1533-position model. The record is from RNAcentral.
GACGAACGCUGGCGGCGUGCUUAACACAUGCAAGUCGAACGGAAAGGCCUCUUUCGGGGGGUACUCGAGCGGCGAACGGGUGAGUAACACGUGAGUAACCUGCCCUUGACUUUGGGAUAACUUCAGGAAACUGGGGCUAAUACCGGAUAGGAGCUCCUGCUGCAUGGUGGGGGUUGGAAAGUUUCGGCGGUUGGGGAUGGACUCGCGGCUUAUCAGCUUGUUGGUGGGGUAGUGGCUUACCAAGGCUUUGACGGGUAGCCGGCCUGAGAGGGUGACCGGCCACAUUGGGACUGAGAUACGGCCCAGACUCCUACGGGAGGCAGCAGUGGGGAAUAUUGCACAAUGGGUGGAAGCCUGAUGCAGCAACGCCGUGUGCGGGAUGACGGCCUUCGGGUUGUAAACCGCUUUCGCUCAUGACGAAGCUAUGUGUGACGGUAGUGGGUAAAGAAGCACCGGCUAACUACGUG